GCCGACAGAAGCAAAAAUAGAUUCCAUUUUCUUCCAAAAUGGACCACAGCACGCAUGGUUGCUUGCGUUCCGAGCAGAAUUGGCAGCCACAAAUAGCUCUUCAUGAUCAUCAUCAGAUUCUCCUGUGAAAUCUAAAGAUCCACUAUUAACCAAUGGCCCAACACGAGCUAAAGACUUCCGCUCUUUCAACUUUUUUGAAGGAGGACGACCAGUUUUGCUUUUAUUCUUAUCAGAAGUGAGUUUCACACUCUGAAGUGGCUUUGUUGUUGGUAGAUUCUCUAAUUUGUCUCUCACAGUAUGAACAGCAGGCCUUGUUAAUGAUGAACCUCUUCCGCUCCUUCCUUGUCUCCUCACACCAUCCCCAAUCUCACUAGUACGUAAUUUAUUCUUCUGAGCAGGCAACAGAAAAGCACCAACUUUAUGGGGUGCAGUCAGAGCAACCUCACCAUUAUCUAUUCCUUUAUCUUUUGUUUUAUUCUC
RNAcentral lists this unclassified non-coding RNA (480 nucleotides) under Hevea brasiliensis (rubber tree). The record is from RNAcentral. Lineage: Eukaryota; Viridiplantae; Streptophyta; Magnoliopsida; Malpighiales; Euphorbiaceae.